UCAGACAUACACACAUAUGUAUAUAGCAGACACCAGACGUCACCCAGAUUCACAGUAAACACAUAAUAAAUAACAGCUAGUCAUAGAAAUGCAGAAACCGAUCAUGCAUUUCUAUAAAACCAGCACAGACCUUAUUUUGGUUACUCUAACUCUGAUUCUGAAGGAAAAUGUUUAUAUUGGUUUGAAACACUAUUUAUUGUUUGCAGCGGGGCACUGCGGUUCCGCUCCGCUCCUGCAGGCGGCGGUAAAGCAGCUGUAACGCUCAAAUACACGCCAUCUUCAUGCACGAGGAACGCAUCGUUCUUUUUCCGCCCGGAUCAGCAGAGACUGCGAGGUGGCAAGAUGCAGAUCUUUGUGAAAACUCUGACCGGUAAGACCAUCACCCUCGAGGUCGAGCCCAGCGACACCAUCGAGAAUGUGAAGGCCAAGAUCCAGGACAAGGAGGGUGUGUAUGAAAAAACGGAAAAAAAAUUAUGUGUAUAUGUGUGUAUGUAUAAGUAAAAUGUCAAAAUAUAUUUCUCUGUAUUUUUAUUUUCUAGUACAAAAUAUCUAAACCUCUUUAAAUCAAGAUACAUUUACUUGAGAUGCAAGCUGAAGAUGUGAAGCUAUGUUUUCUAAGGAUUUAAACCAAACUAAGUGUGUUUAUGCUUUAAAUAAUAACGGGUAUCAAAUUUAAUUUAAUAUAAAGGUAAUUCAAUUUUCAAAUUCAGUAAAAUUAUUAGUAAUUUUUUUUUAUUUGCUCACUUCAUUUUGAUACAUUUCUCAGAAAAUAAAACUUAAAGGGUUAGUUCA
Long non-coding RNA from Cyprinus carpio (common carp), 792 nucleotides. The record is from Ensembl. NCBI's taxonomy places the organism in Eukaryota, Metazoa, Chordata, Actinopteri, Cypriniformes, Cyprinidae.